CAGAACUUUCCAGAGAUGGAUUGGUGCCUUCGGGAACUGUGAGACAGGUGCUGCAUGGCUGUCGUCAGCUCGUGUUGUGAAAUGUUGGGUUAAGUCCCGCAACGAGCGCAACCCUUAUCCUUUGUUGCCAGCGAUUAGGUCGGGAACUCAAAGGAGACUGCCAGUGAUAAACUGGAGGAAGGUGGGGAUGACGUCAAGUCAUCAUGGCCCUUACGACCAGGGCUACACACGUGCUACAAUGGCGCAUACAAAGAGAAGCGACCUCGCGAGAGCAAGCGGACCUCAUAAAGUGCGUCGUAGUCCGGAUUGGAGUCUGCAACUCGACUCCAUGAAGUCGGAAUCGCUAGUAAUCGUGGAUCAGAAUGCCACGGUGAAUACGUUCCCGGGCCUUGUACACACCGCCCGUCACACCAUGGGAGUGGGUUGCAAAAGAAGUAGGUAGCUUAACCUUCGGGAGGGCGCUUACCACUUUGUGAUUCAUGACUGGGGUGAAGUCGU
Molecule: ribosomal RNA, 498 nt
Filed under: Salmonella enterica
Lineage: Bacteria; Pseudomonadati; Pseudomonadota; Gammaproteobacteria; Enterobacterales; Enterobacteriaceae
Also listed under: 1 other name
Description: bacterial SSU rRNA
Rfam family: Bacterial small subunit ribosomal RNA
Source: RNAcentral